AGAUUGAACGCUGGCGGCAUGCCUUACACAUGCAAGUCGAACGGCAGCACGGGAGCAAUCCUGGUGGCGAGUGGCGAACGGGUGAGUAAUAUAUCGGAACGUGCCCAGUCGUGGGGGAUAACGCAGCGAAAGCUGUGCUAAUACCGCAUACGAUCUCUGGAUGAAAGCGGGGGACUCGCAAGAGCCUCGCGCGUAUUGGAGCGGCCGAUAUCAGAUUAGCUAGUUGGUAGGGGUAAAAGCUCGACCAAGGCGACGAUACUGUAGCUGGUCUGAGACGGACGACCAGCCACACGUGGAACUGAGACGACGGUCCAGACUCCGUACGGAGCAGCAGGUGGGAAUUUGGACUAGUGGGCGACGAAGCCGUAGACGUCCAGUAC
RNAcentral lists this ribosomal RNA (380 nucleotides) under uncultured soil bacterium. Its description in RNAcentral is "bacterial SSU rRNA". It matches the Rfam family "Bacterial small subunit ribosomal RNA", at positions 26 to 397 of the family's 1533-position model. The record is from RNAcentral.